CUUGAUUAGAGGUAUAUUUUCGAGGACGAAAAUUCUUAAGUUGGGGAGAGUUGUAACGCCCCAAUUUUAUUUAAUUAUUAUUGGUCGAUUUCAAGUCUUUUUUUUAUAUAUAUGAUUUUAUAUUAUUAUGUGGUGUGUUAUAUUUUAUUAAAUAAGUUAUGUUACUAUUUAAUAGAAUAAGUGGGAAUUUAGAAUAAUUGGAGUUUUGGGGGUUAUAUUUUAAUUAAAGGAAUUAAGUAGGAGUUAAGUGUUAUAAUUGGGGAAGUUAAGAAUAGGGGAGAAGUUGGGAAACUGUCAGUCAGUCAGAAAUAUUUUCACGUGGAAGCAGUUUUUGGGAGAAAAACCAAGAGGGAGCCAAGAGUAUCCAAGAGAAGAUCGUGUAGAGCUUUGUUCAUCAAUCUAAGGUAAGGGUGAGACUAACUCUCAAUAAUUAUAAAUUAUAUAACUUCUGAUUUUGAUUUAACAUAAGGGUGUCGGUUAAAUUUGGGAUUUGGGGUUAGGUUUUGAUCAUUAGAUUUUGAAUUGAAAGUGUAGAAACCAUGAUAAAGAUGAGAGAUUGUGUACUGAUCAUAGAUAUAAUCAUAUAGCGAUGUUGUAAACAAUUUUGGGGAUUGAAUUGGGAAAAAUUGGGACUAGCUUUCUCUAAAGAUGGGUUGUAUAAUUCUGAAAAAGGGUUUAACAUUGUAGUUGUUGAUGAUGAAUUUACAUGCUCAAGUUAUGUAUAUAUGCAUACUUAUGUUUUUGCUCAAAAUUGGUGAAGUAUAAUGUUGUUGUUGAUGAAUUCACUUCUGAUUGUUGUUGUUUUUGUUAUGAGAUGUUGUUUUGAUGAUUGAAACCUUGGGUAAUCUUAACCAUAGAGCUUGAAGUGAACUUUUGUUGUUCUUGAGAACUUUUAUGAAAAGUGUGAUUUUGUAAAUUAAUGUUUUGGGUCAUGUUUUAUAUGGUUCUGAGUGCCUUAACAUGUAUAGAAAUGGUUAGACAAGUUUUUGGAUCAAAUUUGGGCAUAGGGAAGUCAAAAUUGGAAUUUUGGGGUGAAAAAUAGAGUUUUCCCGAGAGCUACCUGUCAUAACUCGCCAUGGCGAGUGGAGUUACUCGCCGGGGCGAGUAGCUCUCUGACAUGAAAGUUGUAGAUAAUUUUGUUAGCUUUCCAAUGGCUUUGGUUUGACUCGAAAAUGAUUUUUAGUUUUUGAGAUAUGAUGAAAAUACUCCAAGGAGGUCUUAGUGAAAUUUUAUGAAAAUUCAGCAAAACCGUUUCUAAGUUAAUCCAAAACUUAUGGGAUAAUUCCAACCCUUAAAACUAGAAGUACUAUGAGUUCAAUUAAGGUGUUUAAGAGUAUUUAACCCAUGUUGUGAGUUGAUCCUUGGGUUAGGAAUGAAAGUUUAUUAAAAUAUUGUUGAUGUUCAGUAAGUCUGAUAUAAGAUGGUUGAGGGUUUUAGUAUUAUGAUGAAUUUGCCAAUGCAUUAUGUAUGAUGUUUAAGUAGUGUUGAUUAUCAUUUGGUAUUGUCAUAUUAUGUGUUACUAGUGUUGUUGUUGGAUCUUAAUUAAGAUGUGAAUGUUGGUUUAAAUUGUAAGCGUGCUGGGUUGUACGUUGCCGAAUGAGUCAUAAGUAAGUUAUGCAAAUUGUCGAUGUUGUUAUCAUCGUUGGUGUUGUUGUUGAAGUCGUAGUUGUAUCCGUUGUUGGUGAUUGAUCAGGUUAGAUGUUUCUAUAAGAGGUGGUGUACUCUUACGUGUCGUCUUUAUAAGAGGUGGUGUACUCUUACUUGUCGUUUUUAUAAGAGGUGGUGUACUCUUACUUGUCGUUUUAUAAGAGGUGGUGUACUCUUACUUUAUCGUUUUUCUAAGAGGUGGUGUACUCUUACUUUGUUGUUGUCUAUGAGAGGUGGUGUACUCUUACGUGGUCUAUGUUGAUGAGUAUGACGAGGUUAUGAUGAUCUUCUAUAGUGUUGAAUGUGAGGUUGUUAUGAUAUUACAUGAUGUUACCUAUGAGUUAUUAAAUGUACUUGAUGAGGGUUAUGUUAAGUUGUCUUCUAUUCAUGAGCACUAAGGGGAUGUUAAGAAGAAGAAUUAUUGAGUGUAUAUGAUGAUGUCUAUGUUGUUAAUUGUAAUUGAUGAAUUUUAUGCUUAUUAUUAUUGUUUGAGAAAUCUCACCCCUUCUGCUUGGAAAUGUUACCCUUCGUAUGGGUAACUUGCAGGUAUUUGAAGAUUAGUAGGAGUGGUGGCUUAAAGUGUCUAGGGCUCUGAUACGUACGAGAUGGGAUUUUCUUAUUGUUUUUCAUUCCUAUGUAUCAAUUUUUGAAUAUUGCUGACGUAGCCCUAUGGUUGUUGAAUUUAUGUUGAUAAGGCUUUUAUGCCAAGAUUUAAUUAUGGAGAUUUAAACAGUUGAUGUUGUUGUUUUGAUGC
RNAcentral lists this long non-coding RNA (2401 nucleotides) under Medicago truncatula (barrel medic). Its description in RNAcentral is "long non-coding RNA (MTRU_LNC000129)". Lineage: Eukaryota; Viridiplantae; Streptophyta; Magnoliopsida; Fabales; Fabaceae. The record is from RNAcentral.